This 234-nucleotide ribosomal RNA is filed under the name uncultured bacterium. RNAcentral describes it as "partial 16S ribosomal RNA". It matches the Rfam family "Bacterial small subunit ribosomal RNA", at positions 15 to 236 of the family's 1533-position model. The record is from RNAcentral.
GAUCCUGGCUCAGGAUGAACGCUAGCUACAGGCUUAACACAUGCAAGUCGAGGGGAAACGACAUCGAAAGCUUGCUUUUGAUGGGCGUCGACCGGCGCACGGGUGAGUAACGCGUAUCCAACCUGCCCAUCACUUGGGAAUAACCUUGCGAAAGUAAGACUAAUGCCCAAUGAUAUCCCACGAAGGCAUCCGAAUGGGAUUAAAGUAUUUAUCGGUGAUGGAGUGGGGAUGCGU